Molecule: long non-coding RNA, 309 nt
Organism: Lycium ferocissimum
Lineage: Eukaryota; Viridiplantae; Streptophyta; Magnoliopsida; Solanales; Solanaceae
Exons: 2
Source: RefSeq, a predicted model, not a curated record
ACAACUCUAGCAAACCGAUCAAAUAGAUUCAUACGAGCUCCAAGGGCACCCCCACCAUGACUGUUACACCUGGAUCUAUUAGAACGAGUAAGCUGUAGCCCAGCAAGUUUUAGAGCUCCCACUGCAAGUGAUUACAAUUUAAGCUCUAAAAGGCGGCGCUUUAACAAAAACAACAACCCUAUUACAAGAUGAAAUAGAAGGUGCUGAAGCCAUACUUAUCCCUGUUAUAGGUGUUCUAAUUGCCAUUUUGGUUUGACAGAACCAACAAAAGGGUACCCAAAAUUGCAACUUUUUGUAUAUACAACACUA